UACGGAGGAUCCAAGCGUUAUCCGGAAUUACUGGGCGUAAAGAGUUGCGUAGGUGGCAUUGUAAGUUAACAGUGAAAGCGUUCGGCUCAACCGGAUAGACAUUGUUAAAACUGCAAAGCUAGAGGAUGAGAGAGGUUAUUGGAAUUCCCUGUGUAGGAGUGAAAUCCGUAGAUAUAGGGAGGAACACCGAUGGCGUAGGCAGAUAACUGGCUCAUUCCUGACACUAAGGCACGAAAGCGUGGGUAGCAAACGGG
RNAcentral lists this ribosomal RNA (254 nucleotides) under uncultured bacterium. RNAcentral describes it as "partial 16S ribosomal RNA". It matches the Rfam family "Bacterial small subunit ribosomal RNA", at positions 524 to 776 of the family's 1533-position model. The record is from RNAcentral.